RNAcentral lists this long non-coding RNA (822 nucleotides) under Triticum aestivum (bread wheat). RNAcentral describes it as "long non-coding RNA (TAES_LNC001699)". The record is from RNAcentral. Lineage: Eukaryota; Viridiplantae; Streptophyta; Magnoliopsida; Poales; Poaceae.
UCACCUUUCCUCGAUCAUAUAACCUACCCACGUCAUCUCUUAUCACCAGAUCAAUCUGUUUAUAUAGUGGAGCUGCCCUAGUUAUCACUCAACAAGAAUGACCAUCCAAGGACAACAACAAGUAUCACAGGAUCAAAAAGGAUUCUAGAGACAAGAGGGAGGAUCCAACUUGAUACCCACAGGUGCCUCGACUACUCAAAGGAACACUUAUUUUAGCCACGAUUAAUCAUUAUCGCCCUAGCACGAACGCCACUGAUCAAUCUAGCAAAUCCAGGAGCAUAGCUAUAGGACCAGGGCAUCCACAUGUAAACUAGAGCAUCAAAUGAGCUCCUAUGAUAGCAACUAAACAUGAAAAGCAGCCUGCAAACCCUAAGAUAGCAUGGAUCCACAACUACAGAGCUCAGGUAGGAACCGAUGCAUGAGUAGGGCAUAGAGCAUCAACCAGACGAGCACCACAUCAAUAUUGCCAUGACCAUGUCCCAUACAGUAGCCGAAGCAGAGGAGCAGAAGGAAGAUGGAGCUCACCGAGGGAGGUUAUAGCCAAGGCAAUACUCAGUGCGCGCCGGGGUUGCGCCUGAACGCCGUCCAACCGACGAGGAACCGCGUCGGAGUUGCGCCUUGCACUGUCCCGCCGACGAGCACAAACGCAUCAAACAACCAAGUGACUCUGUGCACGGAAUACAUGUCAAACAAUAUAAACAAUCAGAUAUGCCAUCACAACAGGCGAAUAAACAUCUAGUAAAACAAAACAAUGUAAGAUCCACACUCACCUAAGAUGAACCGGGGCAUGCCUAUAUGUGCUCCAUUCAAAUGCUUAACGCU